AACAGGAAGAAAAUAUGACACAAGUACCUCAACAAUGAUGAGGACAUCAUUUUUUGCUUAUUGCUGUUGCAUGUCCUUAUUUCUUAUUCUACUAUGAUUUUUUCAUUAUUUCUAAAGAACAAGCACAAUGCAUAGAAGAGGAUUUCUCUGAUCGUCGUCAUCAGUAA
Molecule: non-coding RNA, 167 nt
Filed under: Thalassionema frauenfeldii
Lineage: Eukaryota; Bacillariophyta; Fragilariophyceae; Thalassionematales; Thalassionemataceae
Source: RNAcentral